AACGCAGCUUGCACUCUAUGGAUCUUCUAUAGAGUACGCUUGCUUCAGUAUCAUAACUAACCCACACAUAAAAAUCUUUUUUUUUUUUAUGUGGUGAUGGGCAAGUUCGGCGGCCCAGUAAUAUUAUUAUUGCUUGCUGCUGAUUGCCUAAAAUACAGCCUCCUUGUAAUUCUCGCAUCGAAUUACGAACUACCUAGCCAUCGUGCCUUUUUUGGUCCAAAAAACCAAAAAAACGUAAACCUAGGGGGGUUCUGCCAGCCAGCAGAUAUUUGCAUGCCUUCUCAACUAUGAUCUGAAGUCAAGUGGGACUACCCGCUGAACUUAA
Molecule: unclassified non-coding RNA, 325 nt
Filed under: uncultured fungus
Lineage: Eukaryota; Fungi
Description: partial contains 5.8S rRNA and ITS2
Source: RNAcentral